This 351-nucleotide long non-coding RNA is filed under the name Salvia miltiorrhiza (redroot sage). Its description in RNAcentral is "long non-coding RNA (SMIL_LNC008906)". The record is from RNAcentral. Lineage: Eukaryota; Viridiplantae; Streptophyta; Magnoliopsida; Lamiales; Lamiaceae.
CCUGCCACAAGCGGGAUUUUGUGCACAGAGGUGACUGUGAGCCGUCUUCGGGUCGGCCGGUCACGGUACUUGAGAGGGAGGCCUACUUCUCAGUACCUUUAAUGAUGAGUAGUGGAUGUGGUACAUACAUGAUGAAUGUUUAAACUGCGCAGUUACUUAUUUAUGAUGUUGAUUAUGAAAACCGCAUGCACAGAUUCAUUGAUACUAACUUAUUUCUGUGUAUUGCUGAGAUGUGGCAAGCUUCAAACUUAUAGCUCUAAGAGCGCCUUUCUUGUUUUUCGGCGUUUGCCCACUGAGUAUUAUAUACUCACGCCCUGCAUGUAUUUCUAAAUGUGCAGGCUAAGCGAGGAG